UUCCACAGCUACUGGUCCACAGCUGUUCUGGUGAUGGCAGUUGUGGCAUUCCUCUGUGGGAAAGGAAUUGUUACACGGUUAAACGUCCCUUUCUUAGCAAAACGGAAAGUGGGCAUGCGUGUGACAAACACAA
Small nucleolar RNA from Pteronotus mesoamericanus, 133 nucleotides. RefSeq annotates it as small nucleolar RNA SNORA41. Lineage: Eukaryota; Metazoa; Chordata; Mammalia; Chiroptera; Mormoopidae. The record is from RefSeq and is a predicted model, not a curated record. The transcript has a single exon.